CGAAUCGGCAAUUUUAAGGAUAAUUAAAUCGGACAGUUUUCUCAGUAUAAUUAAAUCAUAAUGAGUAUUAUAAUUAUUUUAACAGGUAAUUUAUAAGCAAUUAAUACAGUUGUAAACCAAUCUCUACAAGCCAAUUUCUACAAGUAAAAAAAUGUUGAAAUGUUUUAAUUUUUAUUAGCAAUUCGGGAAAUCUUUAAAUUUUUUUACAACCAAAGAAAAAAAAAAAUGUACACUAUACGUAUAUGUGUGUGCGUGCAUAAAGAUAUACAUGUGCAUUUAAGAUGUGCAACGUAAGCAGGAAACAUAAAAUCCGGUUUUCGCAGACUAACAUAGUAUAAUUAUUACGAUAAA
Molecule: long non-coding RNA, 351 nt
Organism: Monomorium pharaonis (pharaoh ant)
Lineage: Eukaryota; Metazoa; Arthropoda; Insecta; Hymenoptera; Formicidae
Exons: 3
Source: RefSeq, a predicted model, not a curated record